RNAcentral lists this ribosomal RNA (704 nucleotides) under Bacillus sp. (in: firmicutes). RNAcentral's name for it is "bacterial SSU rRNA". It matches the Rfam family "Bacterial small subunit ribosomal RNA", at positions 801 to 1504 of the family's 1533-position model. The record is from RNAcentral. Lineage: Bacteria; Bacillati; Bacillota; Bacilli; Caryophanales; Bacillaceae.
CAAAGAUGUAAUGCUAAGUGUUGGAGGGUUUCCGCCCUUUAGUCGCUAGCAUCAAACGCAUUAAGCACUCCGCCUGGGGAACACGGCCGCAAGGAUGAAUCUCAGGAGAAUUGACGGGGCCCCGCACAAGCGGUGGAAUGUGUGGUUUAAUUCUAAGCAACGCGAAAAAUUUUACCAGGUCUUGAUGUCUCCUGACAACCCUAGAUAUAGGGCGUUCCCCUUCGAGAGACAGGAUGACAGGGGGGGCAUGGUUGUCGUCAGCUCGUGUCGGGAAAUGUUGGUUUAAGUCCCGCAACGAGCGCAACCCUUGAUCUUAUUUGCCAGAAUUCAGUUGGGCACUCUAAGGUGACUGACGGUGACAAACCGGAGGAAGGUGGGGAUGACGUCAAAUCAUCAUGCCCCUUAUGACCUGGGCUACACACGUGGUACAAUGGAUGGGACAAAGGGCUGCGAGACCGCGAGGAUAAGCGAAUCCCAUAAAACCAUUCUCAGUUCGGAUUGCAGGCUGAACUCGCCUGCAUGAAGCCGGAAUCGCUAGUAAUCGCGGAGCAGCAUGCCGCGGGGAAUACGUUCCCGGGCCUUGCACACACCGCCCGACGCACCAGGAGAGUUUGUAACACCCGAAGUCGAUGGGGUAACCUUUUGGAGCCAGCCGCCUAAGGUGUGACAGAUGAUUGGUGUGAACUCGUAACACGGUAACCGCG